This 536-nucleotide ribosomal RNA is filed under the name Klebsiella aerogenes. Its description in RNAcentral is "bacterial SSU rRNA". It matches the Rfam family "Bacterial small subunit ribosomal RNA", at positions 997 to 1533 of the family's 1533-position model. Lineage: Bacteria; Pseudomonadati; Pseudomonadota; Gammaproteobacteria; Enterobacterales; Enterobacteriaceae. RNAcentral also lists the same sequence under 2 other names. The record is from RNAcentral.
UUAGCAGAGAUGCUUUGGUGCCUUCGGGAACUCUGAGACAGGUGCUGCAUGGCUGUCGUCAGCUCGUGUUGUGAAAUGUUGGGUUAAGUCCCGCAACGAGCGCAACCCUUAUCCUUUGUUGCCAGCGAUUCGGUCGGGAACUCAAAGGAGACUGCCAGUGAUAAACUGGAGGAAGGUGGGGAUGACGUCAAGUCAUCAUGGCCCUUACGAGUAGGGCUACACACGUGCUACAAUGGCAUAUACAAAGAGAAGCGACCUCGCGAGAGCAAGCGGACCUCAUAAAGUAUGUCGUAGUCCGGAUUGGAGUCUGCAACUCGACUCCAUGAAGUCGGAAUCGCUAGUAAUCGUAGAUCAGAAUGCUACGGUGAAUACGUUCCCGGGCCUUGUACACACCGCCCGUCACACCAUGGGAGUGGGUUGCAAAAGAAGUAGGUAGCUUAACCUUCGGGAGGGCGCUUACCACUUUGUGAUUCAUGACUGGGGUGAAGUCGUAACAAGGUAACCGUAGGGGAACCUGCGGUUGGAUCACCUCCUUA